This 128-nucleotide small RNA is filed under the name Marmota monax (woodchuck). Lineage: Eukaryota; Metazoa; Chordata; Mammalia; Rodentia; Sciuridae. The record is from RNAcentral.
GCUAGGCACUGUGGUGCAUGCCUGUAAUCCCAGCUGCUCAGGAGGCUGAGAUAGGAGGAUUGCAAGUUCAAGGCCAGUCUCAGCAACAUAGUGAAGCCCUAAGCAACUUUAAUGAGACCCUGUCUCAA